Cydia splendana is the source of this 1001-nucleotide long non-coding RNA. RefSeq lists it as uncharacterized. The transcript has 2 exons. NCBI's taxonomy places the organism in Eukaryota, Metazoa, Arthropoda, Insecta, Lepidoptera, Tortricidae. The record is from RefSeq and is a predicted model, not a curated record.
CUUACGAGCCCCAAUGCAGAAGAGUUCGGCUACUAUUUAAAAUUGAAAGUAACUUUUUUUCAAAGUCAAAUCUAGUAAGUAAUUUUAGUAGCAUAGGAGCAAGAAAUAAAAAAAGUGUUGUAAAAUUAAUCAACUUUAUUUCCUAUAUAAUACAACAAAAAAAUAUUCAUGUAUUGUAAUAAAAAAAUACAAUUCUUCUAUCAACUACAACGCAUAAUAGUUCGGCUAUCGAUCUUGAGUACGCAAAAUAGUUCGCCUACCACUUAGUUGUCUCGCCUUACCUCUUAAGAACAGCCUUGUUCCUCAAUGGCAUCGUCGCUACCAACUCUUCGCACUCUUCUGGGGGUUAUAGACUCCCAGACAGCGACGAUUUUCUCUUUUAAAUCCUUUUUUGACCUCGAUGGAAACUUGCGUAAUUUUUUUUUCAUUUUCCACCACAAUGUUUCAAUGGGUGACAAAUCUGGACUAUUCGACGGCCACUCCAUAGUGGGGAUUCCUUUAGAUUCGAGCCAAGUCUUCGUGGUCUUCGCAGUAUGGCAAGAUCCCUAGUCCAGUUUGAGUGCUCGCGAGCGAAUUUCAGCCUCUUCUUUUUCUGUAACUCCGUUAGUAAAGGUUAUGCCUUGGCCGUGUAAAAACCAUAUCCCAUUCUUUUGAGAACCGUUUUGCAGGUAUCCACUGAAACGUCUUUCUGGAUCAUAUCACGCCAUUUUACGGUAAGUUCCCCCGCACGAGCACGGCGGUUUUGUUUGAUAAUUUUCUUUAAAACUCGGUUUUCAGCUGCACUCGUCAUACGCGGUCGACCAGACUUCUUCAAACACGAAAUUGUGCCGUGUUUCUUGCGAUGCUGGAUGAUUGACUGGACAGUAGAUCUUGGCAGUAAUAAAUCUCUGGCGAUUUGGUUGGUAGAUUUACCACUCUCACUACUGGAAAUUAUAAUUUUCCUGACUUCUUCUGUGACUGGUUUUCCGCGGCCCAUGUUGCUCUAAAUUACUUAUCAUCAU